ACUCAAAUGAAUAGACGGGGGCCCGCACAAGCGGUGGAGCAUGUUGUUUAAUACGUCACUAACCGUAGAACCUUACCAGGGCUUGACAUCCAUCGCACCGGGGUGAAAGCCUCGUUCCCCGCAAGGGGACGGUGAGACAGGUGUUGCAUGGCUGUCGUCAGCUCGUGUCGUGAGAUGUUGGGUUAAGUCCCGCAACGAGCGCAACCCUCAUCCCAUGUUGCCAGCGAGUAAAGUCGGGAACUCUUGGGAAACUGCCGGGGUAACUCGGAGGAAGGUGGGGAUGACGUCAAGUCAGCAUGGCCCUUACGCCCUGGGCUACAAACAUGCUACAAUGGACGGUAGACAGAGCGAGCCGAAGCCGUGAGGUGGGGGCAAUCGCAAAAAUCCGUUCUCAGUUCGGAUCGCAGGCUGCAACUCGCCUGCGUGAAGCCGGAAUCGCUAGUAACCGCAGGUCAGCCAAACUGCGGUGAAUACGUUCCCGGGCCUUGUACACACCGCCCGU
Molecule: ribosomal RNA, 502 nt
Filed under: uncultured bacterium
Lineage: Bacteria
Description: partial 16S ribosomal RNA
Rfam family: Bacterial small subunit ribosomal RNA
Source: RNAcentral